AGUUCGGAUUGUAGUCUGCAACCCGACUACAUGAAGCUGGAAUCGCUAGUAAUCGCAGGUCAGCAUACUGCGGUGAAUACGUUCCCGGGUCUUGUACACACCGCCCGUCACACCAUGGGAGCCGGAAAUGCCCGAAGCCGGUGACCCAACCUUAGGGAGGGAGCUGUCGAAGGUGGAGCCGGUAACUGGGGUGAAGUCGUAACAAGGUACC
Molecule: ribosomal RNA, 211 nt
Filed under: uncultured bacterium
Lineage: Bacteria
Description: partial 16S ribosomal RNA
Rfam family: Bacterial small subunit ribosomal RNA
Source: RNAcentral